UUCGGAAACUCCAUCAUCGAAAACGGCUCAGGAGUACGAAGGCCUCUGUGCUCUUGAGAGCACAGCAGCCCUACUCUAUAUAUAUAUAGAGUCCGGCUGCUAUGCUAUCAGUAGCACGGAACGCUCCGUGCUACCAAGUUGUUUUCGAUGAUGCGGCUUCCAAAUUGACGAUCGGCUCCGUUAGACUUGAUCUACAGUAUUGAAAGUAUUUGAAAACUAAAUUUCAGAUUUUUUCGACAUCAUUUGACUAGUGAUCAAAAGAUCUCAAAAUUGAUAAUUUUAAUGGCCGAUGUGGUGUGUUUGUGAGUUUAACAGUGUAAAAUAAUCCAAAUGCGAUGAAAAUUUUAUAAAAAAUUCUUUUCACUAUUUAUAGUAAGAUCAGUAUAUCUGAUCUUGAAUUUAAAUCUUUUAUCAUCAUUUUUAAUGAGAUUUUUAUUUUCAGCCGUUCAAUUUUAGACUACUUGUUU
This 467-nucleotide long non-coding RNA is filed under the name Ananas comosus (pineapple). RNAcentral's name for it is "long non-coding RNA (ACOM_LNC041434)". The record is from RNAcentral. Lineage: Eukaryota; Viridiplantae; Streptophyta; Magnoliopsida; Poales; Bromeliaceae.